UACGGGGGAGCAAGCGUUGUUCGGAUUUACUGGGCGUAAAGGGCGCGUAGGCGGUCAGCACAAGUCAGUUGUGAAAUCUCCGAGCUUAACUCGGAAAGGUCAACCGAAACUGUGCGACUAGAGUGCGGAAGGGGCAACUGGAACUCUUGGUGUAGCGGUGAAAUGCGUAGAUAUCAAGAGGAACACCUGCGGCGAAGGCGGGUUGCUGGGCCGACACUGACGCUGAAGCGCGAAAGCCAGGGGAGCGAACGGG
RNAcentral lists this ribosomal RNA (253 nucleotides) under uncultured bacterium. RNAcentral describes it as "partial 16S ribosomal RNA". It matches the Rfam family "Bacterial small subunit ribosomal RNA", at positions 524 to 776 of the family's 1533-position model. The record is from RNAcentral.